This 508-nucleotide ribosomal RNA is filed under the name Godzillius robustus. RNAcentral describes it as "partial large subunit ribosomal RNA". It matches the Rfam family "Bacterial large subunit ribosomal RNA", at positions 1819 to 2597 of the family's 2925-position model. The record is from RNAcentral. Lineage: Eukaryota; Metazoa; Arthropoda; Remipedia; Nectiopoda; Godzilliidae.
GGCUUCUUGUAUAAUUAAGAGGUCGUACCUGCCCACUGAUAGUAGUUGAAGGGCCGCAGUAAUUCUGACUGUGCUAAGGUAGCGUAAUCAUUUGUCAUUUAAUUGUUGAAUUGUAUGAAUGGUUUGACGAGAAGUUGAAUGUCUCCUGUUGUGUUUAUUGAAUUUUAUUUUUUAGUGAAGAUGCUUGAAUGUUGCUGAGGGACGAGAAGACCCUGUAGAGUUUUAGUGUGUAUUUUCAUAAUUGUGUGAGUGUAUGGUUAUGUAUAUUAUUUAUUUUGGUUGGGGCGAUUAAUUAAGAUACGUAUCUUAAUUUUAGUUUUAAUCAGUGUUGGCUGAAUUUUAUAGAUCCAUUAUUAUUGGUUAAAAGAUCAAAUUACCUCAGGGAUAACAGCGUUAUUGUAUUUUAGAGUUCUUAUCGAUAAUAUAGUUUGCGACCUCGAUGUUGAAUUAGGUUACGUGGAUGGGUGUAGAAGUUCUCUUGGGUAGUCUGUUCGACUAUUGAAUACCU